RNAcentral lists this ribosomal RNA (429 nucleotides) under bacterium. RNAcentral describes it as "partial 16S ribosomal RNA". It matches the Rfam family "Bacterial small subunit ribosomal RNA", at positions 355 to 776 of the family's 1533-position model. The record is from RNAcentral.
UGGGGAAUCUUCCGCAAUGGGCGCAAGCCUGACGGAGCAACGCCGCGUGAGUGAAGAAGGUCUUCGGAUCGUAAAGCUCUGUUGAUGGGGACGAACGUGCCUAAUGCGAAUAGUAUUAGGUAAUGACGGUACCCAUCGAGGAAGCCACGGCUAACUACGUGCCAGCAGCCGCGGUAAUACGUAGGUGGCGAGCGUUGUCCGGAAUCAUUGGGCGUAAAGGGGGCGCAGGCGGGCAUGUAAGUCUUUCUUACAAGUGGGGGGCUCAACACCGUGAUGGGAACGAAACUAGGUGUCUUGAGUACAGGAGAGGAAAGCGGAAUUCCCAGUGUAGCGGUGAAAUGCGUAGAUAUUGGGAGGAACACCAGUGGCGAAGGCGGCUUUCUGGACUGCAACUGACGCUGAGGCUCGAAAGCCAGGGGAGCGAACGGG